UAGAUAUCAGGAGGAACACCAGUGGCGAAGGCGGCCUUCUGGUCCGGAAUUGACGCUGAGGUACUAAAGCGUGGGUAGCAAACAGGAUUAGAUACCCUGGUAGUCCACGCCCUAAACGAUGGAUACUUGAUGUCGGGAUGUUCGGUCGUCUCGGUGUCGUAGCUAACGUGUUAAGUAUCCCGCCUGGGGACUACGGUCGCAAGACUGAAACUCAAAGGAAUUGACGGGGGCCCGCACCAGCGGUGGAACAUGUGGUUUAAUUCGGUGCAACGCGAAGAACCUUACCUGGGCUUGACAUAUAUAUGAAGUAUGUAAGAAAUUAUGUAUUCUGUUUGUUUUUUCAGACAGCAUAUAUACAGGUGAUGCAUGGCUGUCGUCAGCUCGUGUCGUGAGAUGUAGGGUUAAGUCCCUUAACGAGCGCAACCCUUGCUUUUAGUUGCCAUCAGGUAAUGCUGGGGACUCUAGAAGGACUGCCGAGGUUAACUCGGAGGAAGGUGGGGAUGACGUCAAGUCAGUAUGUCCCUUAUGUCCAGGGCUACACACGUGUUACAAUGGACGGUACAGAGUGCAGCUACGCCGUGAGGCUACGCAAAUCACUUAAAGCCGUUCCCAGUUCGGAUUGGAGUCUGCAAUUCGACUCCAUGAAGUUGGAAUCGCUAGUAAUCGCAGAACAGCAUGCUGCGGUGAUACGUUCCCGGGCCUUGUACACACCGCCCGUCACGCCAUGGAAGUUGGGAGUACCCAAAGUUGCUGUCUAUACGGUGGAGGUAACUAAGGUAAGACCGAUGACUGGGGCGAAGUC
This 802-nucleotide ribosomal RNA is filed under the name uncultured organism. RNAcentral's name for it is "bacterial SSU rRNA". It matches the Rfam family "Bacterial small subunit ribosomal RNA", at positions 691 to 1487 of the family's 1533-position model. The record is from RNAcentral.